Long non-coding RNA from Helicoverpa armigera (cotton bollworm), 1950 nucleotides. RefSeq lists it as uncharacterized. The transcript is spliced from 2 exons. NCBI's taxonomy places the organism in Eukaryota, Metazoa, Arthropoda, Insecta, Lepidoptera, Noctuidae. The record is from RefSeq and is a predicted model, not a curated record.
UUUUAGUCUUUAUUUUAUGUCUUUAGGGUUAUUUUUUUGGUUUGAGAAACAUGGUGAAAACAAUUGACGAUCGUCCAUAACGUCUUCAGGGUUCCUUUUUCAAAAACGUGGUAAAAAGAAUGUAGGCCAUUUACAAAAGCAUUCGAAUAUCAAAAGGGUUGAAAGCAGUUACUAUAGGAAUGGGAAAGAAUAUUUCGUUAGUUAAGCAUUCUAAUUUUGAUGCUAGGUAAGAAAAGAGACUGAGCCAGAACUGAGAAUACUAAUUUAGUGAGUGGAAAUCUUUGUAUCUAGAGUUGAAAAACCUUUAUAUGGAUGAAGAAUCAUGUAACAAAACAAAAACAAACUCCAAGUACAAAGAGACUGAAAGUAAAAAGUGGGUUUUUCACGUAAAAAGAAAAUAACUGUUCUGCAUUAUACUUCUGAAGAGUACUUUGAACCUUAAGUAGGAAAAUAAGAUUAAAAUAACGUAAACCACAGUCUAAUGUACUUACUUAGUUUUAAUAUGACCCACGAAUGAGUGCAAAAAAUUAACUUAAGUAUCUAUCAUGAGUCAUGAUGAGCUUGUUACAAUUCUGAGCAGACUAUAAGUAGGAAUGUUUGAUGGUCAGAGAUCAAUGACUCUAACAGUACCAACACAGGUACAGUCAAGGUUUUUCUAGUUCCCAGAUGAUGACAAAUGUGUUACUAGUUGUGAAAUAUUGUGUUAGUAAUAGAUAAUAGACGUCAUUGUUACGUUAGCAUACACGCACUGUUUUGAACAAUUUUGUCUUUCUUCAGUACAAAAUAUUUGUUUGUUCUACUAAAAUUAAUUGGGAAGUAGGUUACUCUCAAUUGUCACGCUUUUGCGGAAAAACAGUUGAAGAACCUAUCUAUUGUAACCAGAUGAUAUUUGUAAUGCGUUUGUGUGAUGACUGUGGCCAAAUAAUUAGAUUCAAAGACUUACGGUGAAUUUGAACCCACGGGAAAGACCCAGCUAUAUUAUACGAUCAGUCGAUCACUCUUAUAGUAGUUAGACGUGGUGUUUCCGUAGACCGUGAAUGUUUUGCAAAAAAAUUCAAACAGGUUUGGUCCCCUCAGAUUUUAAUUUUCAAGGCCAUAUUUAAUGGUCUAUAACGAAACCCUUUGCAUGUGAGUAUCGUGUACUUAGUUUCGAAAACUGUGGGCUGCUUGUAAUGUUAAGGAAUUUAUGCCCGUUUUCACCAACAACCUCUUACCGUUUCCCUAUCUAAAAGCUACUUUUAAUAAGGACCCCUCCCAAUUUGACACCUACCUAAAUUCAUUUUCACCACACUUGUACAUGGAUCCCUUAAGUAAGUGACAGAUUACUAGUUCUACAAACGAUAAUGCAAAGUCGAUAUUUUAUCGAUAAAAUGAUUUUUCUCUACUUCUUAAGAAAUAAACGUCUAUCGAGUAUAUAUUACUAAAGCCUGUGAGUUUUUUUCAUGGUGAUGUUAUUUUAAUUUAACUUAAACUACAUUACGCUAUGUUUUAUGCAAUAAAACAGUAAAGAGGUUUUCUAUAGGUGAAUUUUUACCUAUGUCAUUCGCGCGUUUGUCAAAUUGACUGAUGUGUAUGUAUACAUAGAGUGAGAUUAAUUUUGGGUUUAUUAUUGUUGAAUAGAUAAGUUUAUUUUGGCAGAGAAGAGAAAACGAAGAUAAACCUUUCUUGCAGAAGGAAAAGACAAGCUAGUGAAAUUGCUGACGUCUCAUAGAGACACAAUAUUAAACAAAAAACGGAUGGGACCACGAACGAAGCCAAAAACAAAGCUUGGAUCCAGUUACAAAUAGUUUUAAUGCGAUAGGAACCGUUUACAGUUUCAGGUGGUGCGAGAAAUUGGAAAGACGUGUAAAAACAUGCUGCGCCCAGCCCACCUCAAAUUGAAUUGGUGCAGGAGGAUGAUGAUAAUGUUUGGUACAUCAUAUGAGGACUAAUAUUAAAAUAUUUGUUUAC